CUGAACCAGCAACUUGGAGGAAUGUAUAGCGAAAGCUAGCUGCACUUAACUUAGCUAGAGUUAGUGUAGUAUUGAUUAUGUCGAAUAAAGUUCUAGAUGGGUUUUGAUGAUGACAUUUCCCAUCUAUGUGUCUUGACCAAAUUACGUGCCAGCAGUCGCGGUAACACGUAAAAGACUAGUGUUAUUCAUCUUUAAUAGGUUUAAAGGGUACCUAGACGGUAAAUCAAGUCCAACAAGGAUACUAAUUUGACUAGAGUUUAAUAUGAGGGGGCACAAAAGUACUGAUAAGUGGAGAGAUGAAAUUCUGUGAUACAAUAUACGGCACUGGUAAAGGCGAAGGCAUCUCAUUAUGUAAUAACUGACGUUGAGGGACGAAGGCUAUGUGUAGCAAAAAGGAUUAGAUACCCAAGUAGUCUUAGCAGAAAAUUAUGAAUGUCAUAGGAUAGAAGAACAAAUUUUUUUCUAUAAAUGAAAGUGUAAGCAUUCCACCUCGAGAGUAAUAUGGCAACAUAGGAACUGAAAUCAUUAGACCGUUUCUGAAACAAGUAGUGAAGUAUGUUGUUUAAUUUGAUGGUCCGCAAAAAACCUUACCACAAUUUGAAUAGAAAAAAAUUUUUUUCAUACAAGCGCUGCACGGUUGUCUUCAGUUAAUGUCGUGAGAUCUUGGUUAGUUCCAUUAAAUUAACGUAAACCCUUACUUUAUUUUUAUAUAGAGUAGUUCACCGCUAGAUUGGAUAUGAUAACAGGGACUAAGACAAGUCAUCAUGGCCUUAAUAUUGUGGGCUAUAGACGUGCCACAUAUGCCUUAC
RNAcentral lists this ribosomal RNA (809 nucleotides) under Phaeophyscia insignis. Its description in RNAcentral is "SSU rRNA". It matches the Rfam family "Bacterial small subunit ribosomal RNA", at positions 343 to 1240 of the family's 1533-position model. Lineage: Eukaryota; Fungi; Ascomycota; Lecanoromycetes; Caliciales; Physciaceae. The record is from RNAcentral.